RNAcentral lists this unclassified non-coding RNA (340 nucleotides) under uncultured fungus. Its description in RNAcentral is "partial contains 5.8S ribosomal RNA and internal transcribed spacer 2". The stretch from base 1 to 133 matches the Rfam family "5.8S ribosomal RNA", at positions 22 to 154 of the family's 154-position model. The record is from RNAcentral. Lineage: Eukaryota; Fungi.
UGGUUCUGGCAUCGAUGAAGAACGCAGCGAAAUGCGAUAAGUAAUGUGAAUUGCAGAAUUCAGUGAAUCAUCGAAUCUUUGAACGCACAUUGCGCCCGCCAGUAUUCUGGCGGGCAUGCCUGUCCGAGCGUCAUUUCAACCCUCAGGCCUCCCUUCGCGGGAGGGCUGGUGUUGGGGACCGGCCGCCCUCAGCGGUGGCCGCCCCCGAAAUACAGUGGCGGUCUCGCCGCAGCCUCCCCUGCGUAGUAGCACACCUCGCACCGGAGAGCGGCGCGGCCAUGCCGUGAAACCCCCCACUAUACCAAAGGUUGACCUCGGAUCAGGUAGGAAUACCCGCUGA